RNA transcript from Musa acuminata AAA Group (dessert banana), 2823 nucleotides. It is a transcript of the gene named zinc finger CCCH domain-containing protein 17-like, with no coding region annotated. The transcript has 9 exons. The record is from RefSeq and is a predicted model, not a curated record. NCBI's taxonomy places the organism in Eukaryota, Viridiplantae, Streptophyta, Magnoliopsida, Zingiberales, Musaceae.
CGAAGAAGAGUCGGCCAUACGAAACCGAGCUAAUUGCUUGCGUCGGGUCUCGCACGAGCCCUCGCGAAGAAGCCAAGCUAUACAAGUCCGGCGACGCGGUCGGUCGUCGGGGCGGAGGAGAAAGAAGCCAAAGGUGGAAGGAGGCGGCCAAAAGGAAGACGUCAUCCUAGGAACGCAAGGAAGGAAGGCCGCUUCUCUGAAUUCCUCUCCUCUUCCUAUCCCAGCAAGCUCUAAGGCUUUUUAGCGAUACCUACCGAACGAGUUGUCUCGGCGUCGCCGUUUCUUGGGUCGUUUGCUGGACAUUGAAUCGAAUCAUCUCUUCUUCUUCUUCUUCUUCGUGGUCAUCUUCCCGAGGCUUCGUGCUGAACCGAACCACCCGUUCUUGGAUCGAUCGUUUGACGCCGAUUCCACCUUUUCUACUCUAGGUUUUCGCACUGAGUCCCACCACCGCUUCCCGGAUCGAUCAAUGGACAUCGAACCGGCCGAUCGGUACGGAAACAAAAGGUCUUUCCAGCGAGCAGGAUCGUCGCAGGGUGCGCCCGACAGGGUCAACAAGGUCUGCUUCGACUGGCAAGCGGGACGAUGCAAUCGCCACCCCUGUCGCUUCCUCCACAGCGAGCUUCCGCAGCCCAUGUCCGCUGAUGGCGCCACCUCCAGGCGGGGCAAUCACCAGGGCCUCGUGCGGGGAAUUUCUGGUGCGGUCGGUGCCUCAAUCUCCGGUUGGGGAAAGGGCCGAGCGGGCCGCAAGGCUUCCGACAAGAUCUGCAGUUACUUCAUCGGUGGGAAUUGCAGCUAUGGGGAUAAAUGCAGGUUCUUGCAUUCGUGGUUCAUCGGUGACAGCUUCUCCCUCUUGGCCCCGCUUCAAGGGCAUCAGAAUGUCGUUACUGGUAUUGCACUGUCUUCAGAGUCCGGCAAGCUCUACUCUGGCAGCAAGGACGAAUCUGUUCGGGUUUGGGAUUCUCAGACUGGACAAUGCACGGGAGUUUUCAAUGUUGGAGGUGAGGUUGGAUGUAUGAUCAGUGAAGGUGCUUGGAUAUUUAUUGGAGUUCCAAAUGCCGUCAAGGCAUGGAACACACAAACCGCAACAGAUCAAAACCUUGAUGGACCUAUCGGACAAGUUUAUGCUUUGGUUGUUGGCAACGAUAUGCUGUUUGCCGGUACACAGGAUGCACAUAUAUUGGCAUGGAAGUUCAAUGUUGCUGGGAACUGCUUUGAACCUGCUGCUUCUCUUAAUGGCCAUCGACUUGCGGUGGUUUCUUUAGUUGUGGGAGUCAUGAGGCUGUACUCUGGUUCCAUGGAUCACACAAUAAAAGUCUGGGAUCUUGCAACUUUACAAUGUCUUCAGACCCUCAAUGACCAUACGUCCGUUGUUACAUCAUUACUUUGUUGGGAUCAAUUUUUGCUAUCUUCUUCUUUGGACCAAACAAUUAAGGUUUGGGCUGCUACAGAAAGCGGAAACCUGGAAGUAAAAUACAUUCACAACAAGGAACAUGUACACACCUGUUCUAUAACAAACUGUGGUUAAAUAUUCACUCAUAGUUUACAUCUUUGCAUUUAUGAAUUCCAUUGGAGCACUAGUGUCCUGUAUUGAUUCGAAAGUUAAAUUUCAUAUCACAACAUAACAACUGCUUCUGUAGCUUUUUUCUCUAGUACCUUCUUCUCUGACAUUGGUGAAGCUUUUGUUAAUUAAAACGGUCCGGCAAACAGAAAUUAUGAAGCCAUGAAGCUAAUUUCUCUUGCAAUACGUAAUGACAUCACUAAGAUAUGGAUGUAGGUUUCAGAAUAUGUGAUCCUUUUAAUGUGUGCUUCAAUACAUGGCUUGUACUUUUAAAAUCGAUGUUUUGCAGAUUAUUUCUCUUAUAAUGGCCAUUCAGUUGAAGAAUUUGUAUAGCGCAGUCAGUUUGUAAUUGUUAGGAUGUUUCUUUUGUCGUUCUAGAAAUAUAUUUAAAUUGGAAUAAAGUAUAUUGUGUGCUUACUUAUUUAGGGUAUUCUGUGACUCUAAUAUAAUUUUGAUUCUUCAUCACAAAUUAUGUUCUUGUGUAGUUAUCUUUUUUAGGAAUUAUGUAAAGUGGUUAUAUGCCCAUGAUUCUGUAUUGUUUGCAUGGAAUUGUAUUAUCUCUUCUAAUGACAGAUCAGCCUUUUUGCAUUGCUAUUGUAAGCACUUUGAACCGACAGAAAUCACAUGUAUUCUUUCAGAAUUGGUGCAUGCCAUGACUUGGUGCCUGUCUUAAACCUGCAGUAGCGACAACGUGGCGUGCAUCAAGAAGCACACUGCCCAGUCCCCACCUCUCACCCUUUAGAUGCACACCACGCUGGCCAGUUGUUACUCGGCAUGAGCAGCACCUCUUCUGUUAUAUGAGAAUGUUCACUUCAGCAGUAGCUUUAGAUAUUGGAUUCUUGUCCUUCGCAUUGCACAUCACAUGUUGGUGGAGUUGUUGCAAGCCGACACCUGAUUAUGGUGUGCUUGUUCUAUGUGGCAUGCAUGAUGCUCAAGCCAAACCAGUCUUGCUAUGUUCUUGCACCGACAAAAGCAUUCAUAUCUAUGACCUUCCUUCGUAAGUAUACAUGCAUAUAUAUAUAUAUAUGCAUCGAGCGGGGUAAGAUAUUCUCCAAGAAAGAGGUGAGAGCAAUGGAAGUUGGACCUAGUGACCUAUUUUUUACUGGAGAUGGCACGGGUGAACUGAAGGUGUGGAAAUGGUCGACGAACAAGAUGCCGGUAUCAUGAUUUCAUGAUACGAGAACCAAUAGCUGCACCAUCUAAUCUUUUGUUGUAUAAGUUACAAUCAUUUGUUCGAGUGUGAGAAAUGGUGUUUAUGGUGCCAA